CACAGGGGAAUCUUGUUAAGAUGCAGAUUCUGUUUCAGUGGGUCCUAGGAUACUGCAUUUCUAACAAGUUCUCAGGUGAU
This 80-nucleotide microRNA precursor is filed under the name Ochotona princeps (American pika). Its description in RNAcentral is "miRNA (ENSOPRG00000023482.1)". Lineage: Eukaryota; Metazoa; Chordata; Mammalia; Lagomorpha; Ochotonidae. The record is from RNAcentral.